Molecule: ribosomal RNA, 478 nt
Filed under: Microbacterium sp.
Lineage: Bacteria; Bacillati; Actinomycetota; Actinomycetes; Micrococcales; Microbacteriaceae
Description: bacterial SSU rRNA
Rfam family: Bacterial small subunit ribosomal RNA
Source: RNAcentral
GCAGCAACGCCGCGUGAGGGAUGACGGCCUUCGGGUUGUAAACCUCUUUUAGCAGGGAAGAAGCGAAAGUGACGGUACCUGCAGAAAAAGCGCCGGCUAACUACGUGCCAGCAGCCGCGGUAAUACGUAGGGCGCAAGCGUUAUCCGGAAUUAUUGGGCGUAAAGAGCUCGUAGGCGGUUUGUCGCGUCUGCUGUGAAAUCCCGAGGCUCAACCUCGGGCCUGCAGUGGGUACGGGCAGACUAGAGUGCGGUAGGGGAGAUUGGAAUUCCUGGUGUAGCGGUGGAAUGCGCAGAUAUCAGGAGGAACACCGAUGGCGAAGGCAGAUCUCUGGGCCGUAACUGACGCUGAGGAGCGAAAGGGUGGGGAGCAAACAGGCUUAGAUACCCUGGUAGUCCACCCCGUAAACGUUGGGAACUAGUUGUGGGGUCCAUUCCACGGAUUCCGUGACGCAGCUAACGCAUUAAGUUCCCCGCCUGG